AGAUACAGAAUCUCACUAUGUUGCCCAGGCUGGUCUUGAACUCCUGGCUUGAACAGUCGUCAUGCUGCCUCAGCCCUCACCCUCCUGGAUAGCUGGGACUGCAGGCACGCACCACCGUGCCAGCCAAGACUUGCUUUUAAGCCUUGUCAGGAGGGACCACAGGAGACUUUAGAGUAAGCUGAAUUGGGCUGCAUUACUGAGACAAUACUCAGAGUGUUCUACUCAGUGCCCGAUGAAUUAGAAGGUUUUCAACUGUGGUUGGUGGCCACAGGGGCUAUUCUCUGGCUGGUGGGAGCUCUAGGAAUGGUUCCCUCUAAUCUUUUUGGGUGAUUCUUUUUCUGGCCUCAUUUCUUUUCCUCACAUGCAUGUGCUGAUCAAUACUUUGCUGAAGACCCAAAGAUGACACUCUGCAGAGCCCAGAGUUCUCUCCGUGUGCAGCUUUCUUCUCUCCAGUAUUCUCUCCUUGAAGAAACUGAGAUAGGAGAAGGGAUGGUGCCUGAGUCUGCGGCAGACCCUGAACUGGGCCACAUCUCCCAACUUGAGAUUGAAGUCGCUUUGAAAGCAGAGCACAUGAAUCCGGGCAACGUGACUUAAGAGCUGGCUGAUGUUCCAGGACAGCACAAAAGAACGGAACUUGUUUUCAUGCUAUGAGUGCGCAAACCAAUGGGCAGUUUUUGGGGUUACUCGUGAUUGCUCCUCGGUCCAGAGUUCAGGCAGCAAUCUGAGCCACUCAACUGCUCUUCUUUACCCCUCUACCUCUGCAGUUCAUUGGGGGACAGAGCUGGGCCAGGAUCCUGGGACAGAAGGAGGAGGCGGGCCCAGGAAAGUCCACUUGGGGUAACACACAAUUUGUACAUAAAAAAGAAAUGUUCACCUCUUUGUAUGU
Molecule: long non-coding RNA, 886 nt
Organism: Homo sapiens (human)
Lineage: Eukaryota; Metazoa; Chordata; Mammalia; Primates; Hominidae
Exons: 3
Source: RefSeq, a predicted model, not a curated record